Molecule: transfer RNA, 97 nt
Filed under: Nanobdellota archaeon
Lineage: Archaea; Nanobdellati; Nanobdellota
Description: tRNA-Thr
Rfam family: tRNA
About the family: Transfer RNA (tRNA) molecules are approximately 80 nucleotides in length. Their secondary structure includes four short double-helical elements and three loops (D, anti-codon, and T loops). Further hydrogen bonds mediate the characteristic L-shaped molecular structure. tRNAs have two regions of fundamental functional importance: the anti-codon, which is responsible for specific mRNA codon recognition, and the 3' end, to which the tRNAs corresponding amino acid is attached (by aminoacyl-tRNA synthetases). tRNAs cope with the degeneracy of the genetic code in two manners: having more than one tRNA (with a specific anti-codon) for a particular amino acid; and 'wobble' base-pairing, i.e. permitting non-standard base-pairing at the 3rd anti-codon position.
Source: RNAcentral
GCCCCGGUAGCUCAGCCUGGUUAGAGCGCUUCACUGGUAAUGAAGAGGUCCCGGGUUCGAAGCUCUAUUUUUGCAGAAUCUCCCGGCCGGGGCUCCA